Molecule: ribosomal RNA, 943 nt
Filed under: Microbacterium imperiale
Lineage: Bacteria; Bacillati; Actinomycetota; Actinomycetes; Micrococcales; Microbacteriaceae
Description: bacterial SSU rRNA
Rfam family: Bacterial small subunit ribosomal RNA
Source: RNAcentral
UGCGGNUGCUACCAUGCAAGUCGAACGGUGAAGGAAAGCUUGCUUUCUGGAUCAGUGGCGAACGGGUGAGUAACACGUGAGCAAUCUGCCCCUGACUCUGGGAUAACAGUUGGAAACAGCUGCUAAUACUGGAUACGAACUGCGAUCGCAUGGUCGGCAGUUGGAAAGAAUUUCGGUCAGGGAUGAGCUCGCGGCCUAUCACCUUGUUGGUGAGGUAAUGGCUCACCAAGGCGUCAACGGGUAGCCGGCCUGAGAGGGUGACCGGCCACACUGGGACUGAGACACGGCCCAGACUCCUACGGGAGGCAGCAGUGGGGAAUAUUGCACAAUGGGCGGAAGCCUGAUGCAGCAACGCCGCGUGAGGGAUGACGGCCUUCGGGUUGUAAACCUCUUUUAGCAGGGAAGAAACGAAAGUGACGGUACCUGCAGAAAAAGCGCCGGCUAACUACGUGCCAGCAGCCGCGGUAAUACGUAGGGCGCAAGCGUUAUCCGGAAUUAUUGGGCGUAAAGAGCUCGUAGGCGGUUUGUCGCGUCUGCUGUGAAAUCCCGAGGCUCAACCUCGGGCCUGCAGUGGGUACGGGCAGACUAGAGUGCGGUAGGGGAGAUUGGAAUUCCUGGUGUAGCGGUGGAAUGCGCAGAUAUCANGAGGAACACCGAUGGCGAAAGCAGAUCUCUGGGCCGUAACUGACGCUGAGGAGCGAAAGGGUGGGGAGCAAACAGGCUUAGAUACCCUGGUAGUCCACCCCGUAAACGUUGGGAACUAGUUGUGGGGUCCAUUCUNCGGAUUCUGUGACGCAGCUAUCGCAUUAAAGUUCCCCGCCCUGGGGAGUACAGCCGCAAGGCUAAAACUCUAAAGGAAUUGACAGGGGACCCGCACAAGCGGCGGGAGCAUGCGGGAUUAAAUUCGAUGCAACGCGANNAACCUUACCAAGGCUUGGACAUA